RNAcentral lists this transfer RNA (63 nucleotides) under Habrophlebiodes zijinensis. RNAcentral describes it as "tRNA-Asp". Lineage: Eukaryota; Metazoa; Arthropoda; Insecta; Ephemeroptera; Leptophlebiidae. The record is from RNAcentral.
AAAGAAUUAGUUAAUACAUAACAUUAAUAUGUCAAAUUAAAAUUACUUUCUUAGUAUUCUUUA